This 483-nucleotide ribosomal RNA is filed under the name uncultured bacterium. RNAcentral's name for it is "partial 16S ribosomal RNA". It matches the Rfam family "Bacterial small subunit ribosomal RNA", at positions 28 to 507 of the family's 1533-position model. The record is from RNAcentral.
GAUGAACGCUAGCGGCAGGCCUAAUACAUGCAAGUCGAACGGCAGCGGGUCCAGCACUGGAUGCCGGCGAGUGGCGCACGGGUGCGUAACACGUAUGCAAUCUACCUGUAACUUAGGGAUAGCCCGGAGAAAUUCGGAUUAAUACCUAAUGAUAACCGAGACUGGCAUCAGUUUUUGUUUAAAGAUUUAUUGGUUACAGAUGAGCAUGCGUCUGAUUAGCUAGUUGGUGAGGUAAUGGCUCACCAAGGCGAUGAUCAGUAGGGGACCUGAGAGGGCGAUCCCCCACACUGGUACUGAGAUACGGACCAGACUCCUACGGGAGGCAGCAGUAGGGAAUAUUGGGCAAUGGUCGAGAGACUGACCCAGCCAUGCCGCGUGCAGGAUGAAGGCCUUAUGGGUUGUAAACUGCUUUUGAUCGGGAACAAAGAGGCCAUGCGUGGCAAGAUGAGUGUACCGAUAGAAUAAGCACCGGCUAACUCCGUG